AGAGGGGGCAAGCGUUGUUCGGAAUUACUGGGCGUAAAGGGCGCGUAGGCGGCCCUCUAAGUCGAACGUGAAAUCCCUGGGCUCAACCCAGGAACUGCGUCCGAGACUGGGGGGCUAGAAUCCGGGAGAGGGAUGUGGAAUUCCAGGUGUAGCGGUGAAAUGCGUAGAUAUCUGGAGGAACAUCGGUGGCGAAGGCGGCAUCCUGGACCGGUAUUGACGCUGAGGCGCGAAAGCCAGGGGAGCAAACGGGAUUAGAUACCCCGGUAGUCCUGGCCCUAAACGAUGAAUGCUUGGUGUGGCGGGUAUCGAUCCCUGCCGUGCCGAAGCUAACGCAUUAAGCAUUCCGCCUGGGGAGUACGGUCGCAAGGCUG
This 371-nucleotide ribosomal RNA is filed under the name uncultured bacterium. RNAcentral describes it as "bacterial SSU rRNA". It matches the Rfam family "Bacterial small subunit ribosomal RNA", at positions 527 to 896 of the family's 1533-position model. The record is from RNAcentral.